RNAcentral lists this ribosomal RNA (500 nucleotides) under uncultured bacterium. Its description in RNAcentral is "bacterial SSU rRNA". It matches the Rfam family "Bacterial small subunit ribosomal RNA", at positions 28 to 518 of the family's 1533-position model. The record is from RNAcentral.
GACGAACGCUGGCGGCGUGCCUAACACAUGCAAGUCGAACGGAGAUUAUAGCAAUGUAAUCUUAGUGGCGGACGGGUGAGUAACGCGUGGGCAACCUACCUCUAACCGGGGGGAUAACACAGGGAAACUUGUGCUAAUACCGCAUAAGAUCAUAGGAGGACAUCCUCUAGUGAUCAAAGGAGAAAUCCAGUGAGAGAUGGGCCCGCGUCCGAUUAGCUAGUUGGUGAGAUAACAGCUCACCAAGGCAACGAUGGGUAGCCGAACUGAGAGGUUGAUCGGCCACACUGGAACUGAGACACGGUCCAGACACCUACGGGUGGCAGCAGUAGGGAAUAUUGGGCAAUGGGCGAAAGCCUGACCCAGCCAUGCCGCGUGAGUGAUGAAGGUCCUAGAGAUUGUAAAACUCUUUUCUGAGGAAAGAAUAAAUAGGGAAGGAAAUGUCCUUAUUUUGUACGGUACCUCAGGAAUAAGGAACGGCUAACUCCGUGCCAGCAGCCGAC